AAUAACCCCACAUUUAGCUGCUUAAAUAAAUGACACAUAUUUAUUAUCUCACUGUUCCCAGGCACCAGGGCUCCAGGCCAGCCUGCGUGCUGAAAGCAGAGUCUCUUUUGGGGCUACCGUGGCAUGUCCCUCGCUUCUGAGAAGGCUUCCUCCCCAGGCUGUUGUAGAUGCCGCAGUCUCGCGCUCACUGCUGUCCAGAUGGGCCAAAGAUGACAACCGUCCUGGCUCGGGGGUUCUCAGCAGAUAUCCUAGAGAGAAAUCAUUUCUGAAGUCUGACACCACUUCUUUCCAUCCCACCCGAGAAACCAGCAUGAUUCUUGACUAGGAGGACGAUGGAUGAGAAGAGGGAGUUCAUGUUUGCAGUUGGAACACAAAUGAAAACACACAUGCACAUGGACAUAAAAAGUACGGUUGUAGCUCAGUGGUAGAGCACUUGCCUCACACAUGUGAGUUCCUGGGUGAAAUGAAAAGAAAAAUAUGGUUGGGUUUUGUUAAGAAAUACAACUAAAAUUGUGGAUUGUGUUCGGGGUCGUGCAUUUGUGUGGCGCCUUCAAGCGCUCAGUUAAGAUCUUCAGAGUCACAGUGAAUCCUCUUAUAGGUUACUACAGAGAUGCUGGGCUAGUUCUAUUGGGUUCUGCAGGUUUUUCAUUUUUAGGGAGUGGCUUAGCUACUAAAAAAACCAUAAAAAUUGUUUUCCAAUGGACUCAUGUACAGGUAAUUUUAUUUUUCAAUUUAAAAUACAGUUAUAUUACUUGUGAUUAAAAUUAAAUUUAUAAGAAAAGUUC
This 785-nucleotide long non-coding RNA is filed under the name Chinchilla lanigera (long-tailed chinchilla). RNAcentral's name for it is "lncRNA (ENSCLAG00000026185.1)". Lineage: Eukaryota; Metazoa; Chordata; Mammalia; Rodentia; Chinchillidae. The record is from RNAcentral.